ACUCACCAUAAUGAUUUGAAAGGAGAUGAUGAUCACAUGAUUUGAAAAUAUUCAUCAUAAAGUAUACACUCGUAACCCAUGUCUAACACUCUGACGGCGAGAGUUUUUUAGACUGCUGGGAAAGUAAGCCACGAACUUCAUGGCUGGUUUUGUUUGAUGAGAUCCAGAAGCUACACGUGAAACUAUCACGACAUCUCGCGGACUCUUAAGAAACGAAAGCUAAUCUUACAAGAAAAUUGCAAAAUUCCUGAAAACGUUGUGAGUGAACAAGCACCACAAACGUGAUAGACUGCAUUCCAUCACAACCUUUUUUCGUGGAUCAUUUACACAUGUACGUAUGGUUUGUGUUGCCCAUACGUAAUAAUCAUGUCGUUAAGCUUACAAGAGCGUGUUGAAAUUAUCCUGUUGUGUGGACGUCAAGGAUGGACACGGGGAGAAAAAGCUGUGGAGUUCAAUAACAAAAACAUCCGGAAAGAAAUCCAAUAUCUCAAUCAUGCUAUAUCGUUUACAAACACGUUUUGAACUUGGCGGUGGCCAUUUUGAACAGAUAUUGUAAUUAUGUCUUUAAAUAAAAAAUGUUUA
This is a long non-coding RNA of Limulus polyphemus (Atlantic horseshoe crab), 582 nucleotides long. RefSeq lists it as uncharacterized. The record is from RefSeq and is a predicted model, not a curated record. NCBI's taxonomy places the organism in Eukaryota, Metazoa, Arthropoda, Merostomata, Xiphosura, Limulidae. The transcript has 4 exons.